ACAAAGUUGAGCAGGCCAGACAGCGUUACCUGCUCAGAAUAUCCAAAUUCUCAUCAGUACAUGUGAGGAAGUCAUGGAAUCAAGAAGAGAUGAGAUUUGUGCACUUGAUGUAUUCUGAAUUCAAAUUCAAUGGUGCAGUCAAUAUCUUCGACAACAAGAAUGGAUCGGUUGCUCAUACCAACAAGAAGCCUCCUAAGGUCUGAGUUGGAAUUGACCUCAGUUAGCUCGAGGUCAUAUAUGUCAAACCUGAGAAGGUUGGCCAUGGCCGCAAUCAGGCUGGACUUGCCGGUCCCAGGUGGACCAUACAGCAGGUCGGCGUUGAUGCGUGUCGCGAGGUAGCCGAAGCCGGAGAAGAGCAUCUCGCGCAGCUCGUACGGCACCACGUCGUUCACCACGCUGCGCACCAGCAUCACAGAUGCCGCGACGGACGCCGCGGUGGUGAGGGCCUUCUUGUAGGACUCGAAGGCCUUGUCGUAGGACGCCAUGGAGUGGUGUCCGCGGCAAGGAACUGGAAGUAGUGGAAGAAGGAAGCUUCUGCCGGCAACGCCGCGGCGUCCCAGGGUCAUCUCUCCCAGGUCCAGAUCAGGUCUCUGUUUAUUCCCACCUCCACCCACGGACGGCCCGCGGUGGCUGAAACGGCAUGUGCUGGAUCGCGUUCCGUGCAGACGAAGACCGGGCGACGUGCAUCACCAACCCAGAUCAGAACAGCGUCAGAUUGGAAGCAGCCUGCGACGACGAGACACAGGCUGGAAAGCGGCCAGAUGCAUGAAUGCAUCUCUUUCUUUUUGUUUUGUCUGUCGGGGUGUCGUUAGUGACCUCAAAAUUCCAAAAAAAGAAGAUUUCCUAUUACGUCAAAUUUACAGUAAGUACUGAAUAUAGACGAAAUUAAAAACUAAUUGUACAGUUUGGUUGUACUU
Setaria italica (foxtail millet) is the source of this 917-nucleotide long non-coding RNA. RefSeq lists it as uncharacterized. The record is from RefSeq and is a predicted model, not a curated record. NCBI's taxonomy places the organism in Eukaryota, Viridiplantae, Streptophyta, Magnoliopsida, Poales, Poaceae. The transcript is spliced from 5 exons.